Molecule: non-coding RNA, 5088 nt
Organism: Poecilia reticulata (guppy)
Lineage: Eukaryota; Metazoa; Chordata; Actinopteri; Cyprinodontiformes; Poeciliidae
Source: RefSeq, a predicted model, not a curated record
CUCUGGUUGCCCUGAGAAGACAGGAAAACUGAGCAGUAUCUUAUAGUACAACAUGUUCCAAUUAAAGGUCUUCAUUGCUUGUAUGGAGAAAUCCUUGWUGCUCCUUAUUGGAUUCUAAAGUCCYAUUAAUAACUCACAUGUGACCUGCGCAUGAKGACCUUCCAUAUACAUUUCAUUUAACAUACUSUCCAWGUCAUAUUAUUACYACCUCAACAUUCCUCCCCACCAUCACWCAGCGAAAGWUYAUCAUAAAUCAGAAUUGAACAACCUGUGACAAUACAAUAARGGAAUUUGAUARAAAGAAAACAGUUCACACAAUAUCCAAUGUGGUUGAWCCGAAUCAUGUCACUACAGAAUCAAAUUAUCCAUCUAGAUGCAUAAUAAUGACAUCACCUUUGCAACCUAACGGUGUCAGUUCCCCCAGUUAUCACAGUCCGCUUGUUCACAGUCCCAUGGUUGUCCAGGAACCACGACCCCAUCGAGACACAAAAUAACAAAAAUAAACACAUCAACAAAAUAACUUUCAAAACAACGUCACAGUUACAAUCACAACCUUAAGGAACAUUUCAUGAAGGAUGUAACAAUUAUGCAUUAUCAAUUCUCAAAGGAUAUUGUUGCUUCAACUCACUCAGCCAGUACUCAGAUUCAGCCAUUCUCCUGGGCAAACAGCCCUACCUGAUUGCAGUUCCUGAAACAUAGUUCUGAUGGGAAUAUACAUUAAAUGGGAUUGAGUUAUGUUUGGGAUUAUUUAAAUUUAUUGAUCAGGGUUUUCAUGCAAGAGAAAGAACAAGGAAAGAAGCAAGGGUAUGGCGAUAGAAUCAGAAACCCCCUUCUCCUCUGGAAGACCUCCAUCUUCACUCAAAGGACUUAGAUAAGUUGUUUGUAUGUACGUAGAAGCAUAGUUGAUCAGAUAUGCUGGAUACCUUUAGUUCAAUCCAGCGCUGUGAAGCUUAACUAUUCACAUUAUCACAUGAGUCAUCUCUACCACACAGCGCUUAUGUAAUGGCUAGGUAUAAAUUGUGAAAAUACCCCCCUAUGACCAUAACUACCCCACUAUGGAAAAGGAAAUUAUCAAUUGAAGUGUCCAAAUCAAUAUCCAUCAACUAUUUAGUUUAUUUUUAGUGCCACAACUGUCAAUUAUUGAUAGUUCUCAAUUUAGUUUUACAAAUGUGAUGAAACUUUUCCCUGUACAUCUUAUAACAUAACUGUCAUACAAUCUCUUCUCCUGAUUCCACCUUCAAUUCAACACUAUGCUACUCAUUUAGAAUAUAAUAUGUCCAUUUAUUUAUUAAAGGCCAUAUAAGGAAUUUGUCUUAAAAGUUGUACUUCAACCUGUCAGCAGUUUGUUUCCUAUUAGCUCGCAUACAGGUCUUUUGUCAAGCCCAUUGAUUUAAAUUUAACUGGUUCGUGAUUUGGAAUUAAAUAAGAUUGUUGCAGUUUUAUUCUACAUUUAACUCUUUUACAUAGUCUCUAACUUUCAGUUGUCAUGGGUAGAUUUUAUGCCAUAGGUAAAAGAAGCCUCAACUUAAGUGUACUUCUUAAAUGUUAACCAAGUCUUUCAGCAAGCUUGUUGAAUUUCGUUCCUCUGUGAAAUGUUUUGCCUCUCCAGCUUAGAAAAUUUUAACCCUUCUUAAACUCUCUGGAUUUGCUUUUGUGCUGAAAAGGUGCUUGUGAAUUAAAAUUACAUUACCUUGAGUACUUUAAUUUAAUUCCAUUAGAGUAGUCUUACCUAAUUGCCAACCCAUUUAUUAAAAAUUCUUCUAUCUGAAGAAGAACUGUCGUACUUAGACGUAAGUCAUAAUAUUAAAUGUACACUGUGUGUCAGAAGUGACUCCAAUGUUUGUUCGGUUCAAUAGCAUAGGUUCAAUAGAAAGCUGUUAUAUUGAGUUUUAAUGACCAACAUCAGGAGAGAUCUGUUCUAGGUCCCUGCAGUUCUGAUGACCUAAAUCAAGAAUUAACAUUAGCCAUAUUUUCACUUUGUGUUUCAUUAUACCGUCUCUCCAGAUUUCACUCCUCCUGUUUUGGAGAUAUUUAGGUGUCUUCCAUCAGGAGAAGGCGGCUAGAAUAGGACAGAUUUACAGCUUCUGAAAGACAGAUCUAAAAGCAGAAACAAUUAGUGCUUUUGAUUAGACAAAGCAUGCAAUCAAACCCUGGUCCUGUCUUUACUUUGCUAUACUAAGGCUGAACCUGUUGUCCUGGUCGGAAUAUAAAACAUUUCUUCUCCCAUAAUGUAAUGCUGACAAAAUGUUUGUAAUUGACAAAUAUAGCAAAAUCAGAUUGAUGCCAGAUACAACUUCUUCAUAGUGACAGAAACAAAUUUAUGGCCAAUCAAACAGAAACCCAUGAUAUUUUAACCUCAGAGUAAAAUUUCAAGUUCUCUACAUGAGUUAAAAUAAAAAUACAGAGAAAAAAAUGAACUGAAGUGUACAUUCUGUCUGUUGAUGAAAGGGUACAAAUGAAACACCUACUGCAGAGUUCAAAUAAAUUUAUGAAUUUUCAAAACAAUUUCUGAUUUAUGUGUCUCUUAGCAUUGUUUUGAGUAUGAUUUUUUAUGUAGUAUUGCCAUAUUGAAGACUGAAUCUAUUUGGGUUUCUACCAAUUGUUUUGUCUCUAACAUCAACUGUUUAAUGCAAAAACCCUAUUGAGACGCAGUUCCUAGAAUUAAAUAUAUUUUGGUCUAACCUUUAACCUGCUGACCCCCCUUGAAAAUAUUCCUGGCUCUAAGAUAGGAACUUCAUCCUUGUCAGGUUCACUUGAGCUUUUAAUUAUCUGACUCCUUUACUAUCCAGUUGUUUCUUCAUUCUUUUUCCUUUCACUCCUAAAGGAACAAUAUCUGUCUCAUAUCUAGUACAGUAUAGUGUUAUAAAUUAUUUUGUCAUGGGAGAACUCAUGACCUUCAAUUUUGACAGAAUAUGUUAGUUUAGUUUAGAACAAUUUAGACAAGGUGUUAACCAGCAACCUUUGAACUAGAAUUCAGAGAAAAAAUAUUAGAAUGAAAAUAGCAUUUACACCCACUUUUAAGUCCAGUUUAAUUGAUUCAAUUUCUUCUCAAUAGUUAUUUUUGAUUUAUUUUAUCAGUUGAAUGCUCAAGGUGAUAAUCUAUUAAAUUAACUUCCAGAUUGCCAAAUUAAGGUUAAGGAAGGUUCAGAGGGUAUUAAUGAAGACUUGUUUAAUUAAUUGGUCAUCUUAUGAUCUUCCUGAUGGACUGUCUGUUGGCCUUGGUUGCAUGAUGGUUCCUGUGCUGCUGCUCCUUCGUCCAAGGCUGUUGUCAACCAGUGGAGACCGUUUCCUGUGCUCAGCCGUUGUUGUUGCUGGCCUGAGCAUCACUCCUUGAGCAGGCGUUGUGCCAGUGCUCCAUGGUCCACGCAGGUUYCUGCUGUGGAGAUGAGUUUUGGUUCUCCRUGUUGACAUGCUGUGAGGAGCCAACGUCACCAGUCAGCAGCUUUAUAGGCACUUUUCCUCCAGUGCCAAAGUUGUCAAAGUUGCCAUAUGCAACUCUAUCAUGGCCAACAGUUCCAUCUCUUAGUGAUGAGUGAGUAAUAUUGUAACUAUUUGAGUUGUUGUAUUCCACCUGUGAUCAAUUAAUUGUUUUAUUAAAUUUUAUUCACUGCCACACUUAAUUUUGAUCAAUUAUAAUUGUUGCUUUGUCCAUGUCUUUAUGUUCCAAACUGCAGAGGUCUCCCAUAACAAAACAAUUCACCACUAUAUUAACUAUAAUUUAAAAAGCAGUAAGUAGCUUAUUACAAAAAGUUUUAUUUUUUCUAUCCAGAAUACGUUUUCCCAUAACCUACUAUUAGCUAUUAUUGCACUGAUUCACUGUGUUUCCUGUGUAUAUUAAUGAGUAAUGGUAAUCAUGAGCAGCAAAUUCCUAAUAGUGUAUGCUGCUCCAUUAAUACAUUUCCAUGUAAUCAACAGUCAUUUGCCAGUUAGUUGUUUUUUGCAACUGUUCCUGAGGCGAUAAAGUUGUUCCAACUUGUUCUCACUGCGGUCAUUCUCAGCAUUGAAAAGACUCAAAACACACAGCCGGAACAGGACCGAUCAAGGAAGGCUUUCUUCCCUGGCAGUGAUCUCUAUUGAGACGGAGAGACUUUUAAAACUGAAGGAAAAUAAGGAAGACUUUUACCAGAAAGUGACAGAUGUUUUUGCACAGAAGGAGCGGCGCAUGGACUUCAUUUAUAAGUAAAGCCUAGGCGCAGAUUCAAUCUGGAAGCCUCACCUGCCUUAUCAAUCAGCGCCUCACUCUCUUCACCCUGGACCUAUCAGCGUUGGAUCAAACCUCGCUUCGGCCACUCAUCGUUCGAGCUCCAGUUGAAAACUACCUUCUGGCCACGGCCUUUUCCGCUUACCACAUGCGAUCAAUCCGUUCAGCUGCUCACCACAGCUUCUCAGCCAGCAAUCUCACCAGAUCCUUUUCUUCGUGAUUCCCUGUCUUUUCACCCAUGAUCCUGCUGACAUUAGGGCAGCUUAAUCGCAUGCUCGGCUCUUCCCCCUCAAUCGCAAGAGAAUUUAUCCUGGCCCUGGCUUCAAUCACUUUUAGCAGCUCUCGCCGCUCUCUCGCCUGGCUGCAAUUCACCGUUUCCUGCUCCUUCGCCAUCUUUGUCAGGAUCCAUCUAGGCAAGCAGGCACUUAAUCCCACCAUUAACAUUCCCAGGCCGUCUCUCUUCACCUCAGGCCCUGGCACGAGCCGAUCAUGUCACCAUUUCCUCCCAGCUCAUCGUCCAUCUUCUCUCCAUUUCACCAUCGCCUUCCCACCGGUUCCCCGCUCUGAAUCAGCCACAUCAACAGCUUCUCUCCUUCCACAUGGCUUCUGUAAGCCCGCUCAUCAGCGCCUCCCCUCGGAUCUCUCGCGCUACGUCCGUCUCGGGCUGUCGGGGUUUCAUCCAGAUUGACCUCAUCUCAUCCACAUCCUCUGUCACCCUGUGAGGCUAACCUUACCUCUAGCAUCUCGUCUCCUGUAGCAAGAAGUCAUCUCCUUCCUUUUUUAACCUAUUCCCUCUUUUUCAUUUUCUUGUCAUCCUAGUAAUGCACAGCUGGCCCCUUCCACCUGCUAAAUAUUAUUUCAUAGCAUCACCCCAGCUGGCCUUAAUC